This is a long non-coding RNA of Erpetoichthys calabaricus (reedfish), 1360 nucleotides long. RefSeq lists it as uncharacterized. Lineage: Eukaryota; Metazoa; Chordata; Cladistia; Polypteriformes; Polypteridae. The record is from RefSeq and is a predicted model, not a curated record. The transcript is spliced from 2 exons.
AGAAGGCCAGUGGUAACAAAAUGAAGACAAGAGCACAUAAAAACUAUCAAAAUAUUUUAUUGAUUAUCUUUCAGUACAGUAGAAAACAACCUCCAGCGGAGUUUUAUCAGAACCCAGACAAAGGAGUGACGGUGUCAAUAGAAGGUUCUUUCUCACUGCCUGCUUAUUUCCAUUCAUGUAUCGGCAUGACUCAAAAUUUACAAAAAAAUAUACAAAAUAAAAAUAGGUGUUACAGCAAAACAUAACUUUAUCAAUUCAAUCAAAUCUAAAAAGACAGUAGUAUAACUGAAAAUAUAUACUGCUCACAUGAAGUCUUGCAUUUUUGUUAAACAAUAUCAGGGGGAUUAAAAGCUUUAUGUCUGAAUGUUUUUUUUUUUUUUUUUUUACACUGGCAAAUCACACUACCCAUUUUCAAACAUUCACGCACUUCAUUUCAUUUUUUGACAGAGAUUUUUUAAAGUAAAUAAUGUAUUGUGUCCAUUUUUGAUCAAUUGGCCAAAUAUCUUUUAUUUAUAUUGUAGUGUACAACACUGUUACAUGAGACCCCUAUAACUGUUUCAGCUUCUUGACUGCUCACAACAUUGUAAGCUCAUUUAUGGCAAAAACAGAAACAAAGAUCCAGUUUGUAAAAAUGCAGUUAGUAUAGAAAAUGAAAUACGUUUAAUGCUUAAUUAUAUUUGUUUGACCAGUCAAUGAUAAUUCCUCGACAUAUGAAAUCCAAUAAAUGUAAUGUUAUAGUGGCACAUAGACAUUAAUUGUGACCUAUUUGUUUCUUAGAGUUUCUUGUUGUCUCCGGGCACUUCAUUUUCUUUCCCACAAUCUAAUGACAUGCAGGUUAGUUUGACUGGUGGCUUUGACAAGGUGCGAGUGAAUUUGGAUCAUGUGUAAGAAAGAGAAUGUGUUCCAUGAUGGACUAGUACCCUGCCCAGAAAGGACUUCUGCCUUGCUACCAAGAUAGGCUCCAACCCCUGUGACCCCCAAGUUGGAUUAAACCACUGGGAAAUGGAAUAUGGGCUUCUGUUGUAGAAACUUUUACAAAAGAAAAUUAGGAAAUAGAAAAAGCUCUUGUUAGUCCUCUUCCACUUUGUCGCUUGAGCAGAAAGGUUUACAGUGAACAUCCAGAUCUUAAGUACAGACACUCAAACAGAGGCAUUAUUAUAAACAGAUUGUUUAAAUGCGGUUUCAUUUGACAAAACUCAGCACAGCAAGAGAGUAGCAGAAGUACCAUAUAAAUGAUUGUUGCUGUGAGUGCUCCAUUGUUGGGAAUAACAUCUGAAUUUUAUGAUAACGACAGAUCUUUAAGGCUUUGCCUUUGCUUCAAUUCUUCCUUAUUUUUUAUUUAGAAUAGUAAAUAAGAUUU